CUCAUCACCCUCUUUCAUCUUAUAUUUCGAUUGUUGGCUUCUCCAAGCCAACAUGGCUGCUUGUGACAUUCUUUGCCUAUUCCUUCUACUUGUCUACUCACUGCACCCAGAUUCAUUGGUCAUCUGCUCGGCUUAUUCACAACAUUCUUUCAAGUCAAUAGUUUUACAUUGGCUAAAUCAUCCUAGAUACGAUCAUUCCUCUUCAUGAUCCAUCCUUAAGAGGAGACACUCUUCC
Molecule: long non-coding RNA, 235 nt
Filed under: Vitis vinifera (wine grape)
Lineage: Eukaryota; Viridiplantae; Streptophyta; Magnoliopsida; Vitales; Vitaceae
Description: long non-coding RNA (VVIN_LNC003283)
Source: RNAcentral